GAUAAAAAACCUCUCCUGAAAAGACAUGACCAUGUGGAUGUGGGUAUGAGUCUUAUACAUUAGUAUUACAAUUCAAUUUAAACACAUAGACAUGUGCUAGUGAAUGAAGGAUGUAGAACUUGUAGGCCCUUUGAUGUUCUCGCCAGAGAAGUUAAAACCUGCAGAAAUUUUAGUUGUUACAUAGAGUGAAAAAGUUUCAACAACAGCAAUGAAUUUAAACUUUGCAGGAAAAAAAUGUCAUCAGAAAUUUUGUAGAGACUAAACUUAACAUUUUCAAUCAAAAUAGAACAAGUACAUACAUACAGACACAAAGUUUAUCUUUGGACUUUGGUAAAACUUAGCCUAAGACGCACCAUAACCAUGAGGAUGAGCUGCAUACACUCAAGUAGUCAUUUAGGAACAUUAGGG
This 408-nucleotide long non-coding RNA is filed under the name Capsella rubella. Its description in RNAcentral is "long non-coding RNA (CRUB_LNC004821)". Lineage: Eukaryota; Viridiplantae; Streptophyta; Magnoliopsida; Brassicales; Brassicaceae. The record is from RNAcentral.